GAAAUUUGAGAAGACCUGUCCUUAGUACGAGAGGACCGGGAUGGACGUACCUCUGGUGUACCAGUUGUUCUGCCAAGGGCAUGGCUGGGUAGCUAUGUACGGAAUGGAUAAGCGCUGAAAGCAUCUAAGCGCGAAGCCAACUUCAAGAUAAGAUUUCCCACCGCAAGGGUAAGACCCCAGAAAGACUAUCUGGUUGAUAGGUCGAAGGUGUAAGUGCAGCAAUGUAUUUAGCUUAUCGAUACUAAUAGGUCGAGGACUUGACCAAU
This 266-nucleotide ribosomal RNA is filed under the name Clostridioides difficile. RNAcentral's name for it is "partial 23S ribosomal RNA". It matches the Rfam family "Bacterial large subunit ribosomal RNA", at positions 2657 to 2925 of the family's 2925-position model. Lineage: Bacteria; Bacillati; Bacillota; Clostridia; Peptostreptococcales; Peptostreptococcaceae. The record is from RNAcentral.